RNAcentral lists this ribosomal RNA (275 nucleotides) under uncultured bacterium. Its description in RNAcentral is "partial 16S ribosomal RNA". It matches the Rfam family "Bacterial small subunit ribosomal RNA", at positions 338 to 611 of the family's 1533-position model. The record is from RNAcentral.
CCUACGGGUGGCUGCAGUGGGGAAUAUUGGACAAUGGGCGGAAGCCUGAUCCAGCAACGCCGCGUGAGGGAUGACGGCCUUCGGGUUGUAAACCUCUUUCACCAUUGACGAAGCUCUGGCUUUUUGGUUGGGGUGACGGUAGGUGGGGAAGAAGCACCGGCCAACUACGUGCCAGCAGCCGCGGUAAUACGUAGGGUGCGAGCGUUGUCCGGAAUUAUUGGGCGUAAAGGGCUCGUAGGCGGUUUGUCGCGUCGGGAGUGAAAUUCACCAGCUUA